GAAUAUUCUGUGAAGAAGAGAGUAAUCCCGACGUGGAUCAUAAGCGAGCCGGGGGCGGUGGGAGCCCGGUGUGAAGUCCUGGAUGAACCGCACUUCUGAGAAGUUCUUCUUGAAAUCAGUAGGGAAGAACCGGGAUCUCCCGUUAUACAAUGAGUGUCCUUAAUCGGGAAUAAGAGUGGUACCGCGAGCUAAACUCGUCUCUGUA
Molecule: non-coding RNA, 205 nt
Filed under: Rossellomorea vietnamensis
Lineage: Bacteria; Bacillati; Bacillota; Bacilli; Caryophanales; Bacillaceae
Description: Bacillus vietnamensis T-box sequence
Rfam family: T-box leader
About the family: Uncharged tRNA acts as the effector for transcription antitermination of genes in the T-box leader family. T-boxes are found upstream of many aminoacyl-tRNA synthetase genes and some amino acid biosynthetic genes usually in Gram-positive bacteria.
Source: RNAcentral